RNAcentral lists this ribosomal RNA (292 nucleotides) under uncultured bacterium. Its description in RNAcentral is "partial 16S ribosomal RNA". It matches the Rfam family "Bacterial small subunit ribosomal RNA", at positions 505 to 796 of the family's 1533-position model. The record is from RNAcentral.
GUGUCAGCAGCCGCGGUAAAACGUAGGAGACGAGCGUUAUCCGGAAUUACUGGGCGUAAAGCGCGUGUAGGCGGUUGAGUCAGUUCGUCGUGAAAGCUUCCGGCUAAACUGGAAGAGGUCGAUGGAUACUGCUCGGCUGGAGUGCGGGAGAGGCAGGUGGAAUUCCGGGUGUAGUGGUGAAAUGCGUAGAGAUCCGGAGGAACACCAGUGGCGAAGGCGGCCUGCUGGUCCGCAACUGACGCUGAGACGCGAAAGCAUGGGGAGCGAACGGGAUUAGAAACCCUCGUAGUCC